UGAGUUUGGCUUGUUGUUGUGAAAAGUGUUUGUUUUGGCGAGUUUGAACGUUUUUGAGCAUGUGUAAUGGCAUGAAUGCGUUAAGCUGUUGUUUUAGUGUUCUUAUGAUGACUUUGGCUUGUUGUUAUGAACAUUGUUCGUUUUGGCGAGUUUGAAGGUUUUUGAGCAUGUGUAAUGGCAUGAAUGCGUUAAGCUGUUGUUUUAGUGUUCUUUUGAUGAGUUUGGCUUGUUGUUAUGAAAAGUGUUUGUUUUGGCGAGUUUGAACGUUUUUGUGCAUGUGUAAUGGCAUGAAUGUGUUAAGCUGUUGUUUUAGUGUUCUUUUGAUGAGUUUGGCUUGUUGUUAUGAAAAGUGUUCGUUUUGGCCAGUUUGAAGGUUUUUUAGCAUGUGUAAUGGCAUGAAUGCGUUAAGCUGUUGUUUUAGUGUUCUUUUGAUGAGUUUGGCUUGUUGUUAUGAACAUUGUUCGUUUUGGCCAGUUUGAAGGUUUUUUAGCAUGUGUAAUGGCAUGAAUGUGUUGAAUUAGUAAUCCCUUGUGUUAAGCUGUUGUUUUAGUGUUCUUUUGAUGAGUUUGGCUUGUUGUUAUGAAAAGUGUUUGUUUUGGCGAGUUUGAACGUUUUUGAGCAUGUGUAAUGGCAUGAAUGCGUUAAGUUCCACCCUACCUUCAAGUUACCGCCCCAUUUCACUUCUCAACGUUGACAUUAAAAUUAUCACCAAGGCACUUUCCCACCGAUUAGAAAAAAUUAUUCCAUCCAUUAUUCACCCGGAUCAAACAGGAUUUAUUAAAGGAAGAAACUCAUCCAAUAACACACGCAGACUAUUCAAUAUAAUGCACCACUCAACCACACAUAACCAUAACUCAAUCAUAGCCACCUUAGAUGCAGAAAAAGCCUUUGACAGAGUUAACUGGUCAUUCCUCAUCCACACCCUACACAGUUUCGGCUUUGGGGAAUCAUUUAUUAACUGGAUUAAAACACUUUACACCUCACCUACAGCCACAGUUAUUACUAACGGACAAACCUCAUGCAAAGCUUCACUCUUCACAGGGGGACCAGGCAAGGUUGCCCACUCUCUCCCUCUUUUUUCACCAUUUUCAUUGAACCCCUAGCAGCAGCCAUCCGUCAGAACCCCCUCAUUACAGGAAUCCAAACCCCCAACAUGCACCAUAAAAUCAGCCUCUAUGCAGAUGACAUUUUACUUUUUAUGGAUUAACCCAAAAUCAUCACUACAAGAAGUAAUCAGUGUCAUCAAAUCCUUCUCCUUCUCUCUGACUACUCAAUAAACUGGAACAAAUCCUCCAUACUCCCAUUAAACACCAACAGUCUGGCUGUGGCAGCCCUUACAACACCCAUCCCCUUCUGCACAAGUCACAUCACCUACUUAGGCAUCCACAUUUCCCCCAGGCUGUCAGAGUUGAUCAACCUGAAUUUCACUCCACUCCUAAAAAAAAUCAAUGAUGAUCUCCAACGAUGGAUGAACCUCCCAUUAUCUAUAUUAGGCAGAAUAGCAACAGUUAAAAUGACAAUCCUCCCCAAAAUCAGUUACCUUUGUUCAAUGAUUCCCACUCAUCCACCUCUCACCUGGUUUCAUUCCCUCGAUUCAUCCAUCAACAAAUUUUACUGGAAAAAUAAACCCCCACGAGUCAAACUGGCCACUCUUCAGAAAUCAAAAAGUUUAGGCGGACUCAAUGCUCCAAAUUUUCAUCAUUACUCACUAGCAAAUCAACUUCAAUACAUCUACAAAUGGACCCACCCCACCCAGUCAGAAAGCACGUGGUUAGACAUAGAACAAACAGUUAGCAAAGACAUCCAUCUCUCAGACCUACCAUUCCUCAGUCAAACUAUCAAAAAACACCCCUGUUUCCAAAACCCCACAAUAUCAUCGGCCCUGACAGCCUGGUGGAAAUUCUACAGCAUUACUAACUCCACUCUGGCACCAUCGCUUUUCACCCCGAUCUGGCACAACCUGGACUUCAUCAGCAAUAAACAAUCACUAUACUUCAGCACCUGGGUAGAGAAAGGGAUUACUCACCUCAAACAUAUCUUCAAUAAUAACACCCUGGUCCCAUUCUCUCUCCUGGUCCAGAAGUUUGGCAUCAGGAGCCAUCAAUUCCUACAAUAUCUACAGAAGUUUCAUCAUCCAUCCAAUCAUCAAUGAAAAACAAGAAUAUAAACUUAGACCCC
This is a non-coding RNA of Xyrichtys novacula (pearly razorfish), 2178 nucleotides long. NCBI's taxonomy places the organism in Eukaryota, Metazoa, Chordata, Actinopteri, Labriformes, Labridae. The record is from the annotation of a GenBank genome assembly.